RNAcentral lists this ribosomal RNA (206 nucleotides) under uncultured delta proteobacterium. RNAcentral's name for it is "partial 16S ribosomal RNA". It matches the Rfam family "Bacterial small subunit ribosomal RNA", at positions 568 to 773 of the family's 1533-position model. The record is from RNAcentral. Lineage: Bacteria; Deltaproteobacteria.
CACGUAGGCGGCUUCGUAAGUCAGGGGUGAAAUCCCACGGCUCAACCGUGGAACUGCCUUUGAAACUGCAAAGCUUGAAUCCUGGAGAGGGUGGCGGAAUUCCUGGUGUAGGAGUGAAAUCCGUAGAUAUCAGGAGGAACACCGGUGGCGAAGGCGGCCACCUGGACAGGUAUUGACGCUGAGGUGCGAAAGUGUGGGGAGCAACA